Molecule: ribosomal RNA, 497 nt
Filed under: uncultured bacterium
Lineage: Bacteria
Description: partial 16S ribosomal RNA
Rfam family: Bacterial small subunit ribosomal RNA
Source: RNAcentral
GAUGAACGCUGGCGGCGUGCCUAAUACAUGCAAGUCGAGCGAACGGACGAGAAGCUUGCUUCUCUGAUGUUAGCGGCGGACGGGUGAGUAACACGUGGAUAACCUACCUAUAAGACUAGGAUAACUUCGGGAAACCGGAGCUAAUACCGGAUGAUAUUUUGAACCGCAUGGUUCAAAAGUGAAAGACGGUCUUGCUGUCACUUAUAGAUGGAUCCGCGCUGCAUUAGCUAGUUGGUAAGGUAACGGCUUACCAAGGCAACGAUGCAUAGCCGACCUGAGAGGGGGAUCGGCCACACGGGAACUGAGACACGGUCCAGACUCCUACGGGAGGCAGCAGUAGGGAAUCUUCCGCAAUGGGCGAAAGCCUGACGGAGCAACGCCGCGUGAGUGAUGAAGGUCUUCGGAUCGUAAAACUCUGUUAUUAGGGAAGAACAUAUGUGUAAGUAACUGUGCACAUCUUGACGGUACCUAAUCAGAAAGCCACGGCUAACUACGUG